Vicia villosa (hairy vetch) is the source of this 4371-nucleotide RNA transcript. RefSeq lists it as uncharacterized. The transcript has 11 exons. Lineage: Eukaryota; Viridiplantae; Streptophyta; Magnoliopsida; Fabales; Fabaceae. The record is from RefSeq and is a predicted model, not a curated record.
CUUUCUUUCUCACUAUUCAGAUCACUUUCCUCUUAUUACUCCUCCUUUCUAUUCAGUUUAAUUUCAGAACUCCUCCCUCUCUAACGGCGCCGGUGAAGAAACCACCGUAAGAACUCCUCCAUCUCUAACGGCGCCGGUGAAGAAACCACGGUAAGGAACAAGUUAGCUUGCAUUUUACCACAGGAACAAUGUCAAGGGCUCCCAUUCUCAUAAACGAUUUGGUCAAGGGGAACCAGGUCUGGAAAAUGCUGAUUAGGGUUGUUGAUCUUUGGGUUGUUAAUGAGAAAAAUGGCCAUCAACACCUUGAGAUGGUCAUUCAAUAUGUAAAGGCUGAUAAGAUUCAUGUGACAAGUUGGAACCGAGAUUUCAAAGAUUGGUUUGAACAAGUGAAGGAGCAUGAGACUUAUAUUAUGUACAACGGAGAACCCGUGGACAACGAAGGUCCUUUAAAGGUCUGUUCUCAUCCACUCAAGGUUGUCCUCAACGGCGGGACUACGAUGAUCAAGGCGGCGUUACCCGACAUACCAACCCACAAGUUCAUUUUUCAUCCUAUUGAUAACUUUCUCAAAGGGAACUACAAACAUGACCUGUUAUAUGAUGUUAUAGGGGUGUUGCAAGAUGUUGUUAAGACACAAAUGGGCGGUGGUAAUAGGAAAUCUUGCGUCAAUAUUACCUUGCGUGAUGUCGAAGGGAACGUUAUUGAGGUGGCAUUAUGGGAAGCUUAUGGCAAGCAAUUCAUGAACUACACUACCCCGAACAACACUUCUGGACCUACAAUUAUCGUUUUGACCCAUGCCUGGUGCAAGCCAAAUUCUGGUUUCAAUUACUUAGCACUUCUUCUAAUUUGAUGUUUAGAUUUAUAUACUUCCAUGUUUACAUCACUAUUCCAUGUUUCCUGUUAGACUGUCUUCCUUACAAACCUUUGCCCUGUGUUAUAGUUUCCGGUCUUCCGUCUCUUUCGAAUGCAUGGAACGGCUCUAGACUUCUCAUUAACUUGGACCAUCCACAAGUGGCAGAUUUCAAAGCUAGGUACAGCAGGUAGAUUGGUACACAUUCCAGCAUUUUGGGAAAUACUAGAGAAAAGAGUCACUUCUACCUUAAAUGCUUUGUACUUCUUGACACGUUAAACCUUUCCUGUGAGUUUGCCUUGGCACAACAGUCUUGCAACCUCAUUGUUCCGGUUAAACAGGGUCGAUAAUUGAGUUUGGAAUAACUUCAUCAGGUGCAAAUCUAAGUCUGCCUAUACUAUUAAUGUAUGUAUUCUUCUGUAAUAAUGUGCCUUGAAUUUUCAUGAAACCUACUAAACUUACAGUUGCUUGUCAUCUUUUUGCCUUCCUGCGAAUUUGGUUUGCCAGACAGGGCCUAAAUACAGUCAACAUGUAAUUUUAGGGAUGAAACUGAAUAUAAUGGUGUUAUAUCAAACUAUAUUGCAAAUGAAUCAGAAUAUAGCUUAAUCAUAUAUAUCAAUGAUUAAAACUGGACUACAUAGGUUAACAUUUUCAAGUUGGGGAUGCACAUAUAUUCAGCCAAUAAUUUCCUAUCAGUGCUUAACUCAACAGUCAAUGCCAUUUAUUAGAAAAAACCUCAUUGCCAUUGUGUUCAAUAUACAGCAAGAAUAAAUAAGUCAGACAUCUAAAAUUGGUUGAAUUCAAUCAAGCUUCUGUAGUACUUCUACAAAUUAGGUACUGCUCAACAUUUUUAUAGGAGUGCUUCCCUUAUUUAUCAUUGUGAUCAACAUACAACAACAAUAAUGUAUGGCUAAGUAUUAGAAAAAACAUUAUUACCUUCCCUUAAUUAUCACAGUGAGACCCUUAUUUAUCAUGUGAUGCAGCAUGAGACUCAAAUUGAUAAAUGAUCACCAAUUUUUUCUGAUUGUGAGGCCAAAUUUUGUUGAGGAUGUCAUGAUGUCAUGAUGUCAUGAUGAUUUUAAACAUUUACAACCUAUGUACUAAAUGCUGGGAGCUUAGAAACAAUGCCAUCGGGCCAUGUAACAAGUUUUUGGUUUUUUUCUAUGAGAUGCUUCCUAACUGAUGGAUUACAACUAUCUUGGAAUGCAUAAUGGAGACUAUAAUGUACAAACAAUGACUCAUAACGUCUCUACUGUUUUUUAAUAGAACCAGUGUUAAAAAUAGGAUUUCGCUGCCAGCAUCCAUGUGCAAUAUAACAAAAGUACAACUGGGGCCGUAGAAGCUAUAUUUCACUGCCAGCUUCCAUGUGCUAAUGAGAAACAUGGAAAGGGGACUGUAGAUACUAUAGCAUUUUACGUUUUUUAAUUUCUUCAUGACCAAAACUGAUACCCUUGCCUAUCAACCAUUGUAACUAUUGUUAUUAAAAAUGUCAAUGUAAUAUAUAGUUCUCAUUUCUAUCUUGCAUAACAUUAUAUUAUUACCAAUUAUGUCGUAGGUCUAAUGCCGAGCUAAAAGAAAGGACACUCAUUUGGGAUUUUACUAGAGCCAAAUAUAUUCAUAUGGAGGAUAAUACUUCUUCUUUUUCAUGAUUGCAACAAAACUAUCAAUAUAUUCUUUGGCGGAUUAUAUCUUUUCGUUAUAGUCAUAUUCCAUAUGUUAAUUUCAUCCCGAACAACACAACAUCACUAACAAAUAACCCGUGCGGCAGCACGGGUCUCUUACUAGUUCAUAUAAAAAACCUACCUCUCUAAUCUCUCAUUUUCAUCUUCUUUGCUUUUUCUUUCUCUGUUCCUACUGCCAACUAUCUCCCUUUCUCAUUCUCUGGUCAGCAAGAAAGAAGAAAAAUAAAAUCAGGCUAACGUAAGUGGCGCCGUUCCCAACGCUGUUAUACCUUCCAGAGACUCCCCUCUCUUCGCCGGAUACAAUCUCUUUAGCGCCACUGAUACCAAGGUUGGGAAAAACUUUGAUCCCCACGGAUCUGUUCUCAUCUGAUUCCAAACUAACAUCUCUCCUCCGUAAAAUGCCUCAUAAAUCUGCCAAAUCGAAGGAAGCUCCAAUUGAACGACCCAUCCUUGGUCGAUUAUCUUCUCACCUCAAGAUUGGAAUCGUAUGCUUCUUUCCCCUUUUCUCAACAAUCCCAUAAAUUUUCAAUUUUUAUACUAUUCUCUGUACUCUUUUUCAGUUGCAAAAUUGGGCACUUCGUUAAUCAUCUUCAUUCCAUGCAUGAUUUAAGUCUUCUUAAUUUCCACUCACUUAUCAUCUUGGGAUUCAUAGUAAUUGUUUAAUACUUAAUCGCUAAACUACAGUUCUUUACUGAUUUUUUCACACUUAUAAAGUUGAGACAGUAAGAAGAAAAAUGCUUCUUUUAUUGGUUUAUACUACUUAAUUUUGAAUUUAUUUAUCCUUUGAUGUCAAAGAUUAUAUUUUUUUGUUUUCUCUAUAUUUCUAAUUUGAUUUAUAUUUUGCAAUAUUCAUGAAUAUUGCAUGAAAUUAUUAAGAAGGGGGAUGCAGGCCAAAAGUAUAUGUAAGGAUCUAGAAGUAUGGAAAUCGACUACUGAGUUCUUCUUCGUCUUCUCAAACUAGAGCUUUGCAAACUCAUUCAAAACGUUCUAAUAAGCAUUUGCCAUGAAAUAACAUAAAAAACAAGGAUCAUGAGUUCCAUAAGCAAUGCAUGAAAUGUGGAAAGACUAUAUAAUGUUGUUGCUUAAAUCCAUUGGGAAAAAUCCAUUGGCUCAAAGUCUCCUUGGUGCAGAUUUACACAGUGCUAUUAUUUUAGUUAUGGAGUGUAAACUAACUUAAAUUAUUGGAGAUGGUGGCAUUAUGAUUUGUGAGACUGCAGAAACUUUCGGGAAAAUUACUAAAGUUAAUAAAUGUCGAGGAUGAAGUGGAAAUUGAAAUGAGGAGAUUGAAGUUAUAGUUGAAGCAACCAAUGAAUAUAUAUAGGACAACUUGCAAGGAAGCCUUUAUGGUAUAAAUUUUUUCUGAAGAAACACCAUUGCCAUUAGUUGAGAAAGAGAGAUUACAGAGGUUGUAUAUGAUGUUGUUUGUGCUUGAGGUCAUCCAAUAUUAAGACCUGCUACUCAUCUGAACCAAUGUAGUUUCCUUUCACGGUUUAACUAUAAAGUGAAAUUUAUUUACAUGUGAAUAUUAACAAAGCUUCCAUGCUCAAGGCUUUAGGAAAUAUUAAAUUGAUUUAUUAUAUAAUUUACAAUUUUUUAAAUAAAUUAAUUAAUUCAGUUAUGAUUAUUAUAACACUUUAUUUUUAAUGUAAUCUAAAAUAUUUUUAUAAUAUUAUUAAUAUAUACAAAAAUAAAUUCAUUAUUGAUCGUUUAGUAAAACAUGGUAUAUCUUUCAAUUUUUCAUAGUUAAUAUUCCUAAAAAUAUAUGGCAUAAUUUUGCAUAAAAAAUUAAUUUAUAAAUUAUAUAUUGAUAGAGACGUAGCAAAAAGGAAAAAAUAAUUUAG